CCUACGGGGUGCAGCAGUGAGGAAUAUUGGUCAAUGGACGCAAGUCUGAACCAGCCAUGCCGCGUGCGGGAAGACGGCUCUAUGAGUUGUAAACUGCUUUUGUACGAGGGUAAACGCAGAUACGCGUCUCUGUCUGAAAGUAUCGUACGAAUAAGGAUCGGCUAACUCCGUGCCAGCAGCCGCGGUAAUACGGAGGGUGCGAGCGUUAAUCGGAAUUACUGGGCGUAAAGCGCUCGUAGGCGGUAUGUCAAGUCAAGGGUGAAAUCCCCGCGCGCAACGGGGGACCUGCCUUUGAAACUGGCAGACUGGAGUGUGAGAGAGGAUAGUGGAAUUCGAGGUGUAGGAGUGAAAUCCGUAGAUAUCUGGAGGAACACCAGUGGCGAAGGCGACUAUCUGGCACAUAACUGACGCUGAGGAGCGAAAGCGUGGGUAGCAAACAGGAUUAGAUACCCUAGUAGUC
Molecule: ribosomal RNA, 460 nt
Filed under: uncultured bacterium
Lineage: Bacteria
Description: partial 16S ribosomal RNA
Rfam family: Bacterial small subunit ribosomal RNA
Source: RNAcentral